Molecule: ribosomal RNA, 492 nt
Filed under: uncultured bacterium
Lineage: Bacteria
Description: partial 16S ribosomal RNA
Rfam family: Bacterial small subunit ribosomal RNA
Source: RNAcentral
AGUGAACGCUGGCGGUAGGCCUAACACAUGCGAGUCGAACGGCAGCACAGUAAGAGCUUGCUCUUACGGGUGGCGAGUGGCGGACGGGUGAGGAAUACAUCGGAAUCUACUUUUUCGUGGGGGAUAACGUAGGGAAACUUACGCUAAUACCGCAUACGACCUACGGGUGAAAGCAGGGGAUCUUCGCACCUUGCGCGAUUGAAUGAGCCGAUGUCGGAUUAGCUAGUUGGCGGGGUAAAGGCCCACCAAGGCGACGAUCCGUAGCUGGUCUGAGAGGAUGAUCAGCCACACUGGAACUGAGACACGGUCCAGACUCCUACGGGAGGCAGCAGUGGGGAAUAUUGGACAAUGGGCGCAAGCCUGAUCCAGCCAUACCGCGUGGGUGAAGAAGGCCUUCGGGUUGUAAAGCCCUUUUGUUGGGAAAGAAAAGCAGCAGGUUAAUACCCCGCUGUUCUGACGGUACCCAAAGAAUAAGCACCGGCUAACUUCGUG